Molecule: ribosomal RNA, 774 nt
Filed under: uncultured Neocallimastigales
Lineage: Eukaryota; Fungi; Neocallimastigomycota; Neocallimastigomycetes; Neocallimastigales
Description: partial large subunit ribosomal RNA
Rfam family: Eukaryotic large subunit ribosomal RNA
Source: RNAcentral
AGAGAGAGACAUGCGCGCAUAUCAAUAAGCGGAGGAAAAGAAACUAACAAGGAUUCCCCUAGUAACGGCGAGUGAAGCGGGAAGAGCUCAAAUUUGUAAUCUUAAAGGGUUUCCCUUUACGAAUUGUAGUUUAAAGAAGUGUUUUCUGUUGAGGUUUUGGUAAAAGUUCUUUGGAAUAGGACAUCAUAGAGGGUGAGAAUCCCGUAUUUGACCUUUACUUUCAACUUUGUGAUACACUUUCAAAGAGUCGGAUUGUUUGGGAAUGCAGUCCAAAAUGGGUGGUAAAUUUCAUCUAAAGCUAAAUAUUGGCGAGAGACCGAUAGCGAACAAGCACCGUGAGGGAAAGAUGAAAAGAACUUUGAAAAGAGAGUUAAACAGUACGUGAAAUUGUCAAAAGGGAAGCGUUUGACACCAGUGUUGUUUUUCUGAAAAUCAAUUAAAGAACUGUUUAUGCUAAGCUGUUUAGACUUUAUCAGCUAUCUGUUUAGUUUUGAGCUUUUCUUUAAUGCACUUUUCAGUUAACAAGUCAACAUCAAUUUCUUUUGCUGUAAAAAAGCUUGAGGAAGGUGGCUUGAGAUUCGUCUUAAGUGUUUAUAGCCUCUUGCCUAUGCAGUCGGAGAGAUUGAGGUCUGCAGCGUAGAUCCUUCGGGGCUAAAUGCAUUUGUGCUAAGUUAUAGCAUUUUAUAGACAACUUGUUGACUAUGAUUUGUCUUGUAGCUUACUCGCUUAUGUUAUUUUACCUACGCUUAGGAUGUUGACGCAUGAGAUAUACGC